Molecule: ribosomal RNA, 409 nt
Filed under: uncultured soil bacterium
Lineage: Bacteria
Description: bacterial SSU rRNA
Rfam family: Bacterial small subunit ribosomal RNA
Source: RNAcentral
AACCUAACCUAAGCUUGACAUCCUUUUGACCGAUGCCUAAUCGCAUCUUUCCCUUCGGGGACAGAAGUGACAGGUGGUGCAUGGUUGUCGUCAGCUCGUGUCGUGAGAUGUUGGGUUAAGUCCCGCAACGAGCGCAACCCUUGCCUUUAGUUGCCAGCAUUAAGUUGGGCACUCUAGAGGGACCGCCAGGGAUAACCUGGAGGAAGGUGGGGAUGACGUCAAAUCAUCAUGCCCCUUAUGCUUAGGGCUACACACGUGCUACAAUGGGUGGUACAGAGGGCAGCUAAGUCGUGAGGCCGAGCUAAUCCCUUAAAGCCAUUCUCAGUUCGGAUUGUAGGCUGAAACUCGCCUACAUGAAGCUGGAGUUACUAGUAAUCGCAGAUCAGAAUGCUGCGGUGAAUGCGUUCCC